RNAcentral lists this ribosomal RNA (253 nucleotides) under uncultured bacterium. RNAcentral describes it as "partial 16S ribosomal RNA". It matches the Rfam family "Bacterial small subunit ribosomal RNA", at positions 524 to 776 of the family's 1533-position model. The record is from RNAcentral.
UACGAAGGGGGCUAGCGUUGCUCGGAAUCACUGGGCGUAAAGGGUGCGUAGGCGGGUUUUUAAGUCAGAGGUGAAAUCCUGGAGCUCAACUCCAGAACUGCCUUUGAUACUGAGAAUCUUGAGUUCGGGAGAGGUGAGUGGAACUGCGAGUGUAGAGGUGAAAUUCGUAGAUAUUCGCAAGAACACCAGUGGCGAAGGCGGCUCACUGGCCCGGUACUGACGCUGAGGUGCGAAAGCGUGGGGAGCAAACAGG